This 343-nucleotide ribosomal RNA is filed under the name Bursatella leachii (ragged sea hare). RNAcentral's name for it is "partial 12S small subunit ribosomal RNA". The record is from RNAcentral. Lineage: Eukaryota; Metazoa; Mollusca; Gastropoda; Aplysiida; Aplysiidae.
AAGGAGCCAAAAAUAAAUAUCUAAGCACUAAUACUUUAUCAUAAAGUUAAAACUUAAAGAACAUGGCGGCGGAAAUUAAAUUUAGGGGAACUUACCAGAUAAUUGACAACCCUCAAGAAAAAUCACCUUUACUCAAAGUUUGUAUACCGCCGUCUUGGGCCCUCUUAAGGAGGGCCCGAAAUGAGUAAGUCAGGAAGACAGGUCAUGGUGCAGCCUAUGUAAAGGACUUUAAGGUGAGUUACAAUAAAAAUUUCUUUCGGAAUGAAGAUGUAAUAACUAAAGGAAGAUGGACUUAAAAGUAAUAGCUAAAGAAGUAUGCUUUGAAUUACAAAAAUUUUCGUGC